UACGAAGGGGGCUAGCGUUGUUCGGAAUUACUGGGCGUAAAGCGUGCGCAGGCGGCUGCUCAAGUCAGGGGUGAAAGCCCAGAGCUCAACUCUGGAAUUGCCUUUGAGACUGAGUGGCUUGAGUACGGGAGAGGUGAGUGGAAUUCCCAGUGUAGAGGUGAAAUUCGUAGAUAUUGGGAAGAACACCGGUGGCGAAGGCGGCUCACUGGCCCGUAACUGACGCUCAUGCACGACAACGUGGGGAUCAAACAGG
RNAcentral lists this ribosomal RNA (253 nucleotides) under uncultured bacterium. RNAcentral's name for it is "partial 16S ribosomal RNA". It matches the Rfam family "Bacterial small subunit ribosomal RNA", at positions 524 to 776 of the family's 1533-position model. The record is from RNAcentral.